This 253-nucleotide ribosomal RNA is filed under the name uncultured bacterium. RNAcentral describes it as "partial 16S ribosomal RNA". It matches the Rfam family "Bacterial small subunit ribosomal RNA", at positions 524 to 776 of the family's 1533-position model. The record is from RNAcentral.
UACGUAGGGCGCAAGCGUUAUCCGGAAUUAUUGGGCGUAAAGAGCUCGUAGGCGGUCUGUCGCGUCUGCUGUGAAAACUCGGGGCUUAACCCCGGGCCUGCAGUGGGUACGGGCAGACUAGAGUGCGGUAGGGGAGAUUGGAAUUCCUGGUGUAGCGGUGGAAUGCGCAGAUAUCAGGAGGAACACCGAUGGCGAAGGCAGAUCUCUGGGCCGUAACUGACGCUGAGGAGCGAAAGCAUGGGGAGCGAACAGG